UACGAAGGGAGCUAGCGUUGUUCGGAAUCACUGGGCGUAAAGCGCACGUAGGCGGAUGUGUCAGUCAGGGGUGAAAUCCCGGGGCUCAACCUCGGAACUGCCUUUGAUACAGCACGUCUUGAGUCCGAUAGAGGUGGGUGGAAUUCCUAGUGUAGAGGUGAAAUUCGUAGAUAUUAGGAAGAACACCGGUGGCGAAGGCGGCGCUCUGGACCGAGACUGACGCUGAGGCGCGAAAGCGUGGGGAGCAAACAGG
Molecule: ribosomal RNA, 253 nt
Filed under: uncultured bacterium
Lineage: Bacteria
Description: partial 16S ribosomal RNA
Rfam family: Bacterial small subunit ribosomal RNA
Source: RNAcentral